RNAcentral lists this unclassified non-coding RNA (19 nucleotides) under Mus musculus (house mouse). RNAcentral describes it as "oocyte_clustered_small_RNA12867". Lineage: Eukaryota; Metazoa; Chordata; Mammalia; Rodentia; Muridae. The record is from RNAcentral.
AGUGUGUGACACUGCUGCU